GAGGGUACAGCUCAGUGGAAGAGUGUGUGCUUAGCAUGCACGAGGUCCUGGGUUCAAUCCCCAUGCCUCCA
RNAcentral lists this transfer RNA (71 nucleotides) under Camelus bactrianus (Bactrian camel). It matches the Rfam family "tRNA". From Rfam's summary of the family: Transfer RNA (tRNA) molecules are approximately 80 nucleotides in length. Their secondary structure includes four short double-helical elements and three loops (D, anti-codon, and T loops). RNAcentral also lists the same sequence under 2 other names. Lineage: Eukaryota; Metazoa; Chordata; Mammalia; Artiodactyla; Camelidae. The record is from Rfam by way of RNAcentral.